GACGAACGCUGGCGGCGUGCCUAACACAUGCAAGUCGAGCGGGGGACUUCGGUCCCCAGCGGCGGACGGGUGAGUAACACGUGGGUAACCUGCCUCAUAGAGGGGGAUAGCCUCCCGAAAGGGAGAUUAAUACCGCAUAACACUGCGAAAUCACAUGAUAUUGCAGUUAAAGGAGCAAUCCGCUAUGAGAUGGACCCGCGGCGCAUUAGCUAGUUGGUGAGGUAACGGCUCACCAAGGCCACGAUGCGUAGCCGACCUGAGAGGGUGAUCGGCCACAUUGGAACUGAGACACGGUCCAGACUCCUACGGGAGGCAGCAGUGGGGAAUAUUGCACAAUGGGCGAAAGCCUGAUGCAGCAACGCCGCGUGGAGGAUGAAGGCCUUCGGGUUGUAAACUCUUGUCUUCUGGGACGAUAAUGACGGUACCAGAGGAGGAAGCCACGGCUAACUACGUGC
RNAcentral lists this ribosomal RNA (455 nucleotides) under uncultured Clostridia bacterium. Its description in RNAcentral is "bacterial SSU rRNA". It matches the Rfam family "Bacterial small subunit ribosomal RNA", at positions 28 to 508 of the family's 1533-position model. The record is from RNAcentral. Lineage: Bacteria; Bacillati; Bacillota; Clostridia.